RNAcentral lists this ribosomal RNA (360 nucleotides) under uncultured Thermovirga sp. Its description in RNAcentral is "bacterial SSU rRNA". It matches the Rfam family "Bacterial small subunit ribosomal RNA", at positions 1022 to 1382 of the family's 1533-position model. Lineage: Bacteria; Thermotogati; Synergistota; Synergistia; Synergistales; Thermovirgaceae. The record is from RNAcentral.
GUGAGAGCGUACACAGGUGCUGCAUGGCUGUCGUCAGCUCGUGUCGUGAGAUGUGGUUAAGUCCCGCAACGAGCGCAACCCCUGCAUUCAGUUGCCAUCGGUAAGGCCGGGCACUCUGGAUGGACUGCCGGCGACAAGCCGGAGGAAGGUGGGGACGACGUCAAGUCAUCAUGGCCCUUAUGUCCAGGGCGACACACGUGCUACAAUGGCCGGCACAACGGGAAGCGAAGGGGCGACCCUGAGCGGAUCCCACAAAAGCCGGUCCCAGUUCGGAUUGCAGUCUGCAACUCGACUGCAUGAAGUUGGAAUCGCUAGUAAUCGUGGAUCAGCCAAGCCGCGGUGAAUACGUUCCCGGGCCUU